UUCAUGGCACAUGCUGCUUAAUGUUCCCUAAACUGAGCUUCCCAUCCAGGGAGAGUGGACACCCUGACAGCAAGGAGCCCCCGGGGCAGGGUGUGAGGCAGAACGGGAGUGUUGUUACCAUGCAGAUUCCUAGGCCCUGCCCAUCCAUACCUACUGAACUGGGGCUGCUGGGGGAGGGGAUGGACAUUCAUAGCUUUUAGGUUUCCAGGGGACCCUGAGGCCUGCAGAAUGACAUUUGGCAUCUACUGCCAGGACAGGCGAACACCCCAGUAGAUGGACCUUGGAAAAAAUGAGACAUCAAUGAGGUUCAAUAGUGUUACCUCACUCCCUCAGCUAGAGACCCUGCUGACUGAAAGUAGAGCUGCUAUUGAUUGAGCACUUGUGUGCCUCCUGAGUUAGGAACUAUUAUUGUCCCCUUUUACAGAUGACUAUGUUGAGGCACAGGGAGGCUUGAGUAACUGUUUCAAGAUGCUAGGGCUGAGGGUGGUGAACUCAGCAUUCAAACCUGGCCUGCUGAUUCCAUGCUGGCUCUUAACCCUAUUCUACAUGGGCUUCUAUAAACUAGGGUGUCACGGAGCCCCCUGCAGGCCUUCUGCUGCUCCUUGCUGGGUGUCCUUGGAUGGCCCCUUCCCUCCUCCAGCCUGGGCUCCAUGACCCCAGGCUGCCCUGUGGACCAGGGCUGGGGCUGGCUCCCAUCACGUCCCCCCGGCCUGAGUCGCCUCUCCUGUACACCUGCUUCCGUGGUUCCACAGGAAACUGAGCUGUCAUCUAGGAUCUCACAUGGAGAUUGUGGCUGAGCUGGAAAAGGGAAGAACAUUCUCUAGAGACAGUUCCAUGCCAUACAGACCUUUGUCCCUGUUUUGAAGGGGAUUCAGUGUGUUUCCAAUUCUGUGAGCUGUCCAGCCAUCAUGGACGCCUCUAACUUUCCCUGUGAAAACCAUUUCCACGACUAAGUGGGAUACCUUGAGGGGAUGCAGCCUGAUAAGAGCUGGAUCUGGAGAGAGAAGGAGAUAAUCUUAAGCAGGCUCUAUGAUCAGAGUGGAGCCCAACACAGGGAUCAAUCCUAUGACCCUGGGAUCAUGACCUGAGCCGAAAUGGAGUUGGACGCUCAACUGACUGAACUACCCAUGCGCCCACUGCUAUUUAUUUCUAAUAUAAUGCCUUUGUGACAGAGAACAGCUUGUGUAUUCUUUGAAUGAUUUAAAAUGUAUGCAGUUUUGUUUUAUGAUCCAGAAUAUGGUGUAUCCAAAUAAAUGGUCUAUACACAGUUGAAAAGAAUGUGUAUUUUGCUUUUGUUGGAUGGAGUGUUCUAUAAAUAUCUUUCGGAUCAGGUUGGUUGAUAGUGUGCUUCAAAUUUAUUCUUACUGAUUUUCUGUCUACUUAUUCUAGCAAUUAUUGAGAAAGGGACAUUGAAAUAUCUAACUGUAAUUGUAGAUUUAUUACUCU
Acinonyx jubatus (cheetah) is the source of this 1446-nucleotide long non-coding RNA. RefSeq lists it as uncharacterized. The record is from RefSeq and is a predicted model, not a curated record. NCBI's taxonomy places the organism in Eukaryota, Metazoa, Chordata, Mammalia, Carnivora, Felidae. The transcript has 4 exons.